GGGCAUGCGCAGCUACCAUGCAGUCGAGCGGUAACAGGGGUAGCUUGCUACCCGCUGACGAGCGGCGGACGGGUGAGUAAUGCAUAGGAAUCUGCCCGAUAGUGGGGGAUAACCUGGGGAAACCCAGGCUAAUACCGCAUACGUCCUACGGGAGAAAGGGGGCUCCGGCUCCCGCUAUUGGAUGAGCCUAUGUCGGAUUAGCUAGUUGGUAAGGUAAUGGCUUACCAAGGCAACGAUCCGUAGCUGGUCUGAGAGGAUGAUCAGCCACAUCGGGACUGAGACACGGCCCGAACUCCUACGGGAGGCAGCAGUGGGGAAUAUUGGACAAUGGGGGCAACCCUGAUCCAGCCAUGCCGCGUGUGUGAAGAAGGCCCUCGGGUUGUAAAGCACUUUCAGCGAGGAAGAACGCCUAUCGGUUAAUACCCGGUAGGAAAGACAUCACUCGCAGAAGAAGCACCGGCUAACUCCGUGCCAGCAGCCGCGGUAAUACGGAGGGUGCAAGCGUUAAUCGGAAUUACUGGGCGUAAAGCGCGCGUAGGUGGCUUGAUAAGCCGGUUGUGAAAGCCCCGGGCUCAACCUGGGAACGGCAUCCGGAACUGUCAGGCUAGAGUGCAGGAGAGGAAGGUAGAAUUCCCGGUGUAGCGGUGAAAUGCGUAGAGAUCGGGAGGAAUACCAGUGGCGAAGGCGGCCUUCUGGACUGACACUGACACUGAGGUGCGAAAGCGUGGGUAGCAAACAGGAUUAGAUACCCUGGUAGUCCACGCCGUAAACGAUGUCGACCAGCCGUUGGGUGCCUAGAGCACUUUGUGGCGAAGUUAACGCGAUAAGUCGACCGCCUGGGGAGUACGGCCGCAAGGUUAAAACUCAAAUGAAUUGACGGGGCCCGCACAAGCGGUGGAGCAUGUGGUUUAAUUCGAUGCAACGCGAAGAACCUUACCUACUCUUGACAUCUACAGAAGCCGGAAGAAGAUUCUGGUGUGCCUUCGGGAACUUGUAGACAGUGCUGCAUGCUGAUCGUCAGCCUCGUGUUUGUGAAAUGUUGGAUAAGUU
RNAcentral lists this ribosomal RNA (1050 nucleotides) under Halomonas sp. RNAcentral describes it as "bacterial SSU rRNA". It matches the Rfam family "Bacterial small subunit ribosomal RNA", at positions 40 to 1086 of the family's 1533-position model. The record is from RNAcentral. Lineage: Bacteria; Pseudomonadati; Pseudomonadota; Gammaproteobacteria; Oceanospirillales; Halomonadaceae.